GGUGCUAUAUAUCUAGAAAUUUUCCAACAUGCCCAAUUGUGUAGCACCAAAUAUGGGCACUCAGUCAUUGACUGUUGGCAUAGGUUUGCAAAUAUGCUCGAUCCAUCUUAUCCGGUCAAUGAUAGGAAAUUCUCCAUUUGGUGGAGGUAUCUUAGGUUAUCUAUGGGUGCUUGGGGUUCUAAGCUUAACUUGUUUGGAGAUAACAUCUCUUGCAAAUUUGGCAACGAUUUCG
Molecule: long non-coding RNA, 232 nt
Filed under: Lathyrus oleraceus (garden pea)
Lineage: Eukaryota; Viridiplantae; Streptophyta; Magnoliopsida; Fabales; Fabaceae
Description: Pisum sativum (pea) long non-coding RNA (PSAT_LNC021775)
Source: RNAcentral